CCUACGGGAGGCAGCAGUGGGGAAUAUUGCACAAUGGGGGCAACCCUGAUCCAGCAACGCCGCGUGAGUGAAGAAGUCUUUCGGUACGUAAAGAUCUAUCAGCAGGAAAGAAAAUGACGGGACCUGACUAAGAACCCCCGGCUAACUACGGGCCAGCAGCCGCGGUAAUACGGAGGGGGGAAGGGUUAUCCGGAGUUACUGGGUGUAAAGGGAGGGUAGAGGGCAGUGCAAGCCUGGAGUGAAAGUCCGGGGCCAAACCCCGGACCUGCUUGUGAAACUGUGAAGCUUGAGUGAAGGAGAGGUAAGCGGAAUUCCUGGUGUAGCGGUGAAGUGCGGAGAUAUCAGGAGGAACACCUGCGGCGAAGGCGGCUUACUGGACUGUAACUGACGUUGAGGCUCGAAGGCGUGGGGAGCAAACAGGAUUAGAUACCCGGGUAGUC
RNAcentral lists this ribosomal RNA (440 nucleotides) under uncultured bacterium. RNAcentral's name for it is "partial 16S ribosomal RNA". It matches the Rfam family "Bacterial small subunit ribosomal RNA", at positions 338 to 795 of the family's 1533-position model. The record is from RNAcentral.